Molecule: ribosomal RNA, 439 nt
Filed under: uncultured bacterium
Lineage: Bacteria
Description: partial 16S ribosomal RNA
Rfam family: Bacterial small subunit ribosomal RNA
Source: RNAcentral
AACGAACGCUGGCGGCAUGCCUAACACAUGCAAGUCGAACGAGACCUUCGGGUCUAGUGGCGCACGGGUGCGUAACGCGUGGGAACCUGCCCUUAGGUUCGGAAUAACUCCCCGAAAGGGGUGCUAAUACCGGAUAAUGUCUUCGGACCAAAGAUUUAUCGCCUUUGGAUGUGCCCGCGAUGGAUUAGCUAGUUGGUAGGGUAAAGGCCUACCAAGGCGACGACCCGUAGCUGGUCUGAGAGGAUGACCAGCAACACUGGGACUGAGACACGGCCCAGACUCAUACGGGAGACAUCAGUGCGGAAGAUGGCACAAGGGGCGUAAGCCUGAUGCAGCAACGCCGCUUGCGGGAUGACGGCCAUCGGGUUGUAAUCCGCUUACAGCAGGGGCGAAGCUUGUGGUGACGGUACCUGCAGAAGAAGCACCGGCUAAGUACGUG